This 1321-nucleotide long non-coding RNA is filed under the name Homo sapiens (human). RNAcentral's name for it is "HSALNT0310231". The record is from RNAcentral. Lineage: Eukaryota; Metazoa; Chordata; Mammalia; Primates; Hominidae.
AGCGAGACUCCAUGGGCGUAGGACCCUCCAAGCCAGAUGAGGAGACGGAAGUCCAGAGGGUUUCAAUCGCUUGCCCAAAGUCACAGAGUCGGGAAGUGCAGAGCCAGGCCACUGCCUGGUUUUAAAUUCUGGGUGGAAAUGCAACGUGCCGGUCAACAUGGUGUGCUGAUGUGGAGGAAAGCUGGGAUUCCUUUUCUCAUUUGAAAAAUGUUGAAACAGAUGGAUAUAAAAAAAGCAAAAUGUCUUGUUCCACGUUUCCAAAAGAGGAAGUAUGAAAGGCGUAAUUGAAAUUCAAAACGUUUGGUCUGAAAAUCCUACAUCCUUUCUCCUAACAACCGUGAAUUCUUACUAAAGGAUAAGGCAUUAAAGCCUUUUUUGAACCAUCUUUCUCUUAUGGAGGAACACAGCCUAUUAAACCACACCAGCUACUAACUGCCUGCUAGGGUCUGAAAGUGUCCUCCCAGCAGUCAUGUCUCCAAGGUGAUGGCAUUAGGACGUGGGGCCUGUCGGAGGUGAUUAAGUCACUAGAGUGGAGCUCUUAUGAAUGGGAUUAGUAACAACUUUCCUAAGAAGAGGCCAGAGAGCUAGCUCUUUCCACCAGGAGAGGAUACAGGAGAAGUCAGCCAUCUGCAACCUGGAAGAGGGUCCUCACCAGAACUCAACCAUGCUGGCACUCUGAUCUCGGACUUCCAGCCUUCAGAACGAUGUUUCUGCCCUCUGGGGCCAAUUCCACCACUCCCUGGAAAGUGAUGUGAUGACCCUGGGCUUGAGUCCAAAGAACAUAGGAGAGUUUUGGCAGGUCGAUGGUGUGUUGGUGCCAACCCACUUAGAGCGAAAACUGUUUAAACCAGUUUUAAUUGGAUUUCCCUCACUUGCAACAAGGAAGACCUGAAUAAUAUUGCUUCUGUCUGUAUGUCCAAAUACUUUCAUUUUUCAAGAAGCAAUGUUAUACCAACGUCAGAACAAAGGAACACUUUAUGCUGAUCCUUGCAGUUUCCAUUAUUAGAGACCCAAAGGAAUCAGACCAGGAGAUCGUUUUGCUUUAAACUAGUAGAAUCUGACCUAAGGCAAAUAUCACUUGAGAAAAAGGAGAAAACACAUUUCUUCCUUCAACAGCGUCAUCCCCAUUCUUGGCAGAGAGAGAUGUGAAUGACCAACAGCCAUGCCAUUGCAUAGUUUCAUCUUUCAUGUAACUUUUUCAUAUUUGAAGCCAAACAUUUGGAGCCAAAGCCUGAUAACCCAGCGAGUCAAGUGCUCAUGUCACUAUUGCUUGUGUCUCCAUGGGACAGGCUUGAUUGAAAAUUGCUAAGACAAUAUUUUU